GUAGUCAUAUGCUUGUCUCAAAGAUUAAGCCAUGCAUGUCUAAGUAUAAGCAAUCAUACUGUGAAACUGCGAAUGGCCCAUUAAACCAGUUAUCGUUUAUUUGAUAGUACCUUUACCUGGAUAACCGUGGUAAUUCUAGAGCUAAUACAUGCUAAAAACCCCGACUUCGGAAGGGGUGUAUUUAUUAGAUAAAAAACCAAUGCCCUCUGGGCUCCUUGGUGAUUCAUAAUAACUUAACGAAUCGCAUGGCCUUGCGCCGGCGAUGGUUCAUUCAAAUUUCUGCCCUAUCAAUUUUCGAUGGUAGAGUAGUGGUCUACCAUGAUCUUAACGGGUAACGGGGAAUUAGGGUUCUAUUCCGGAGAAGGAGCCUGAGAAACGGCUACUACAUCCAAGGAAGGCAGCAGGCGCGCAAAUUACCCAAUGCUAAUUCAGCGAGGUAGUGACAAUAAAUACUGAUACGGGGCUCUUUCGGGUCUCGUAAUUGGAAUGAGUACAAUCUAAAUCCCUUAACGAGGAACAAUUGGAGGGCAAGUCUGGUGCCAGCAGCC
RNAcentral lists this ribosomal RNA (548 nucleotides) under Phialophora verrucosa. RNAcentral describes it as "SSU rRNA". It matches the Rfam family "Eukaryotic small subunit ribosomal RNA", at positions 20 to 575 of the family's 1831-position model. The record is from RNAcentral. Lineage: Eukaryota; Fungi; Ascomycota; Eurotiomycetes; Chaetothyriales; Herpotrichiellaceae.